RNAcentral lists this ribosomal RNA (197 nucleotides) under uncultured bacterium. RNAcentral describes it as "partial 16S ribosomal RNA". It matches the Rfam family "Bacterial small subunit ribosomal RNA", at positions 336 to 524 of the family's 1533-position model. The record is from RNAcentral.
UUCCUACGGGAGGCAGCAGUGGGGAAUUUUCCGCAAUGGACGAAAGUCUGACGGAGCAACGCCGCGUGAGUGAUGAAGGUUUUCGGAUCGUAAAGCUCUGUUGUUAGGGAAGAACAAGUACCGUUCGAAUAGGGCGGCACCUUGACGGUACCUAACCAGAAAGCCACGGCUAACUACGUGCCAGCAGCCGCGGUAAU